Molecule: transfer RNA, 87 nt
Filed under: Gammaproteobacteria bacterium
Lineage: Bacteria; Pseudomonadati; Pseudomonadota; Gammaproteobacteria
Also listed under: 4 other names
Description: tRNA-Leu
Rfam family: tRNA
About the family: Transfer RNA (tRNA) molecules are approximately 80 nucleotides in length. Their secondary structure includes four short double-helical elements and three loops (D, anti-codon, and T loops). Further hydrogen bonds mediate the characteristic L-shaped molecular structure. tRNAs have two regions of fundamental functional importance: the anti-codon, which is responsible for specific mRNA codon recognition, and the 3' end, to which the tRNAs corresponding amino acid is attached (by aminoacyl-tRNA synthetases). tRNAs cope with the degeneracy of the genetic code in two manners: having more than one tRNA (with a specific anti-codon) for a particular amino acid; and 'wobble' base-pairing, i.e. permitting non-standard base-pairing at the 3rd anti-codon position.
Source: RNAcentral
GCCCGGGUGGCGGAACUGGUAGACGCAGCGGACUCAAAAUCCGCCGAUGGUGACAUCGUGCGAGUUCGACUCUCGCCCCGGGCACCA